This 1035-nucleotide long non-coding RNA is filed under the name Canis lupus familiaris (dog). Its description in RNAcentral is "lncRNA (ENSCAFG00030001957.1)". Lineage: Eukaryota; Metazoa; Chordata; Mammalia; Carnivora; Canidae. The record is from RNAcentral.
AUGGCUCAGCCCGAGAGCCGACUUCGGGCGCCGGACCGGCUCGACAGCGGCGCGGCUCAGACAUUCGGGUCUGUGACUUUGUGCAUUGGAUCCUCUCCCAGCCGGGUCAGGGGGCUCGCUGGUGCCCGCCGCAUCUCCCCAGGACGGUGCAGGGCAGCCGGAGCGCCGCGCGCAGCAGAGCCCGGGUACCGCUCCGGCUGGGAACCGGGGCCAGGGAUACAGUCAGCAAAAGUCAGUGAGUCGAGAGAGCAUCCCGGGGGGGAAAACCGAGGUCUGCUUUGCCUUUGCAUUUGGCCAGAGUGGAGGAGAAGGUGGGACACCUCCCGAGGGGCGGGGAUGCUCGGGAGGAGAGAGAUGAAGGCUACGGGCAGUAGGUCGCCUCUUUUCCGAAUGGCAGUUCUACACCGUCCUGCUUUUCAUUUUACUUUUUACCUAUUGUUUUUUUCCCCUGCGUCUUUCUAUUUGGAGCACCUUGGGUGGUGGCGGCAGGUGAGGGUCGGGGGAGGCGUGGCGCCCACCCGCGGAGCGAGCGAGUCGACCCCUCUCGGCCCCAGCGGCGCACUCGCACGCCUGCCGUCUCCAGGUGCGCUCUCCCAGCCGGACGCGGACCGCGCGCUGCUCCCCCUUCUGGCCCCAGCCUGUCCCGGGAGCCGGAGGGCCGGCUUCCAGAGCCGGGGAAUAGGAUGGAGAAGCGGGGAUGCAGGACGCGGGUGCGGGGUGCGCUGGGCUCGGCGGUUGAGUGCCGGCGCUCUGCGCCUCCCAAGUCACCUCCUCCGCCGCCGGGCGCCCGCGCUUCCCCGCGCACCCAGGCCGCUGGCUCGCGAGCGGGGCCGCAUCCCUCCUCCACCCUCCACCGUGCAGGACCAGACGUUGCCUCGCGGUGCCUCGCCUCGCGCGCGUCUCGCUCCUCCCCCAGCAUUAUCCGAGGGCUAUUUUUAUCCACUACUUGCGAGAAGAUGCUUUGGGGAGAUUCUGGGGAGGCGACUCCAAAUCCACUCUCUUCGCGCUGCGCUCCCAGCAGCGGCACCCUGCUAG